This 253-nucleotide ribosomal RNA is filed under the name uncultured bacterium. Its description in RNAcentral is "partial 16S ribosomal RNA". It matches the Rfam family "Bacterial small subunit ribosomal RNA", at positions 524 to 776 of the family's 1533-position model. The record is from RNAcentral.
UACGUAGGGUGCGAGCGUUCAUCGGAAUUACUGGGCGUAAAGCGUGCGCAGGCGGUUUUGUAAGCCAGAUGUGAAAGCCCCGGGCUUAACCUGGGAAUGGCAUUUGGGACUGCAAGGCUUGAGUGCGGCAGAGGAGACUGGAAUUCCUGGUGUAGCAGUGAAAUGCGUAGAUAUCAGGAGGAAUACCGAUGGCGAAGGCAGGUCUCUGGGCUGACACUGACGCUCAUGCACGAAAGCGUGGGGAGCAAACAGG